AGGAGAGUCUUCAGGUUACAAGA
This 23-nucleotide non-coding RNA is filed under the name Arabidopsis thaliana (thale cress). The record is from RNAcentral. Lineage: Eukaryota; Viridiplantae; Streptophyta; Magnoliopsida; Brassicales; Brassicaceae.